RNAcentral lists this ribosomal RNA (446 nucleotides) under uncultured bacterium. RNAcentral's name for it is "bacterial SSU rRNA". It matches the Rfam family "Bacterial small subunit ribosomal RNA", at positions 355 to 796 of the family's 1533-position model. The record is from RNAcentral.
UCGAGAAUUUUUGGCAAUGGGCGAAAGCCUGACCAAGCGAUGCCGCGUGCGGGAUGAAGGCCUUCGGGUUGUAAACCGCUGUCAGUAGGGAGAAAAGGGUAGUGAGUUAUCUCAUUAUUUUGAUCUAUCUGCAGAGGAAGUGUGGGCUAAGCUCGUGCCAGCAGCCGCGGUAAGACGAGCCACACAAACGUUAUUCGGAAUUACUGGGCUUAAAGGGUGCGUAGGCGGUGCGGAAAGUUGGGUGUGAAAUACCUCGGCUCAACCGAGGAACUGCGCCCAAAACUACCGCACUCGAGGAAGAUAGAGGUAAGCGGAACUUACGGUGGAGCGGUGAAAUGCGUUGAUAUCGUAAGGAACACCCGUGGCGAAAGCGGCUUACUGGGUCUUUUCUGACGCUGAUGCACGAAAGCUAGGGGAGCAAACGGGAUUAGAUACCCCGGUAGUCC